GUACUUGCUUUGGCUGCACAUAUACUAAAACUGGAAUGAUACAGGGAAGAUUAGAAUGACCCUGCACAUAAAAAACCAAAAUGAGAGUGUUGGGCAGUAGUG
RNAcentral lists this small nuclear RNA (102 nucleotides) under Erinaceus europaeus (western European hedgehog). Lineage: Eukaryota; Metazoa; Chordata; Mammalia; Eulipotyphla; Erinaceidae. The record is from RNAcentral.